This 494-nucleotide ribosomal RNA is filed under the name uncultured bacterium. RNAcentral's name for it is "bacterial SSU rRNA". It matches the Rfam family "Bacterial small subunit ribosomal RNA", at positions 147 to 675 of the family's 1533-position model. The record is from RNAcentral.
CCUCGGGAAACUGAGAGUAAUACCGUAUACGCCCUUCGGGGGAAAGAUUUAUCGGUUAAGGAUUGGCCCGCGUUAGAUUAGUUAGUUGGUGGGGUAACGGCCGACCAAGACGACGAUCUAUAGCUGGUUUGAGAGGAUGAUCAGCAACACUGGGACUGAGACACGGCCCAGACUCCUACGGGAGGCAGCAGUGGGGAAUCUUAGACAAUGGGCGCAAGCCUGAUCUAGCGAUGCCGCGUGAGUGAAGAAGGCCUUAGGGUCGUAAAGCUCUUUCGCCUGUGAUGAUAAUGACAGUAGCAGGUAAAGAAACCCCGGCUAACUCCGUGCCAGCAGCCGCGGUAAUACGGAGGGGGUUAGCGUUGUUCGGAAUUACUGGGCGUAAAGCGUACGUAGGCGGAUUAGUAAGUGAGGGGUGAAAUCCCAGGGCUCAACCCUGGAACUGCCUCUCAUACUGCUAGUCUUGAGAUCGAGAGAGGUGAGUGGAAUUCCGAGUG